Molecule: ribosomal RNA, 170 nt
Filed under: Camphora bodinieri
Lineage: Eukaryota; Viridiplantae; Streptophyta; Magnoliopsida; Laurales; Lauraceae
Description: Cinnamomum bodinieri 5.8S ribosomal RNA
Rfam family: 5.8S ribosomal RNA
About the family: 5.8S ribosomal RNA (5.8S rRNA) is a component of the large subunit of the eukaryotic ribosome. It is transcribed by RNA polymerase I as part of the 45S precursor that also contains 18S and 28S rRNA.
Source: RNAcentral
AGACGACUCUCGGCAACGGAUAUCUCGGCUCUCGCAUCGAUGAAGAACGUAGCGAAAUGCGAUACUUGGUGUGAAUUGCAGAAUCCCGUGAACCAUCGAGUCUUUGAACGCAAGUUGCGCCCGAGGCCACUCGGCCGAGGGCACGCCUGCCUGGGCGUCACGCCACCCAU